GGAGAAAUACGGCCACUUUUGAGUCACAACUGAAUACUGGUUUGGAGCAUCAAGCGAUGACCGAAUUUGUAUCUCCAGUCCGCGUGGAAGUUUUAACUCAGCUGCAAGCCCAUGGCAUUGCACCAGAAUAUAUCACCUACCCCCGUGUAACCCUCACCUCUGCCUCUCGUCUGUGUGUGAGGCACAGUGACUCCUCCCGGCACUGUCUUACCCUCUUAGAUCCCCAUACAUCUCCCAAGGAAGAUAAGGGUC
Molecule: long non-coding RNA, 252 nt
Organism: Gekko japonicus
Lineage: Eukaryota; Metazoa; Chordata; Lepidosauria; Squamata; Gekkonidae
Exons: 3
Source: RefSeq, a predicted model, not a curated record